GACGAAGGGGGCGAGCGUUACCCGGAAUGACUGGGCGUAAAGGGUCCGUAGGUAGUAUUUUUUGUUAAAGGUGAAAGAUGAAAGCUUAACUUUUUUUAAGCCUUUAAAACGUUUAUACUUUGAGUUUGAAGGAGGAUAGCAGAAUUUCACAUGGAGGGGUGAUAUCCUUAGAGAUGUGAAGGAAUACCAGAGGCGAAGGCGGCUAUCUAGUUCAAUACUGACACUGAGGGACGAAAGCAUGGGGAGCAAACAGG
This 254-nucleotide ribosomal RNA is filed under the name uncultured bacterium. RNAcentral's name for it is "partial 16S ribosomal RNA". It matches the Rfam family "Bacterial small subunit ribosomal RNA", at positions 524 to 776 of the family's 1533-position model. The record is from RNAcentral.